Molecule: long non-coding RNA, 1572 nt
Organism: Daucus carota subsp. sativus
Lineage: Eukaryota; Viridiplantae; Streptophyta; Magnoliopsida; Apiales; Apiaceae
Exons: 2
Source: RefSeq, a predicted model, not a curated record
CUUUCUGUAUCAUUAUUAAGUUUACUAGCAAAGGACUGAAGAUGUAUACUUGUGUGUUUUGACACAUGGUUUAUAGUAAUUGUGCAUUUUAACUUACAACACCACAGAUCACUCAUCAGUCAGCACUAUUAUGUCUGAAGUUACAGAAUUGUUACUAGACUUACUACACUUCAACCAUGAAUAUUCUAGUCCUACAUCUGUAGGAGAUGUGGAUCACAAUCUGUAGGAGAUAAAUGACUGCAGAAAACUUGCAAGAAUCAUUUAAGACCAUUUAUGCUUCUAAUAAGCAUACAUGUUAAAUGGUUGAAAAUAAUGGUGGGAGUGUUUAGCCAAGUAGUUAUUGUAUAAACAAUUUGAUGUGCAUAUCUUUCUUACAUUUAUUCUGCCAUUUCAGUUAUGCUACUGUUUAAGUUUUUGGUAUAAUGGUGAUUUACAUAUGGAUCUAAACUUUUCUAUUCCCUUCUGAGUUUAAGCAUAUAUUAGGAUCUCAUAACUAGAACUGAUGGAUUCGGGCAAUGACGUGGAAGGAUAUGAUAUUCUAGAACUGGUAAUUUGCAUUUACAAAACCACGAGGGCAUAUAGACAGCUAUCCAAAUGCCACACGAUGCUAACCAAUAUCUAUGGAUCAAUCCUGGAGCAGAAAUCGAGUCCAAUUCUUAUUGCUGAUGCCACACGUGUUACAGAAGAUACAAUAUAAUAUUUUUGGUGUUUACAGAGGUGCCCUUGAUGGUUUAUUGGGAGAGUGGAGAACUUAGUCAUACAUACUGGUCGAGGAUGGAUGGUAAUUAUACCUUGAACAUACUUCCAGAUCCCAGAUGAGUCAAAGCAGAUGAAUUGCAGGCGGGAUUCUGCUACUUACAGACAACAGUCGUGGAUCCUGUUGUAGAUUCUUCAUUCUCAAAUAAGAAGUAUUGAGGCAAAUUUAUCUAAUCUUUUUACUCUAAGUGUAAGUAUACUUUUUUUGCAUAUCAACAGGUGAGAAGUGGUGUUCGCGGUGUAUGCACAGUAUUCCUUUCAGGUGAGCCUGCAACAAGGAUGUCAUGGCCGGAGCUGCAGCAACUCAUUGCUACCGUGGAUAGCACAAAAGGUAUGGAUGAUUUAUACUUUUAAUUCAAGAAUCUUGCUUUACAAUUUAAGAGGGUGCCGAAAGUUGGCAGCUUGUCUUGGCACCCUUUGGGCACAUUUGCAACUUCAAAAGGGAAGCACUCAGAAGUGCAGUAUCACAUGGAUGUUGACACCACCUUGACAUCCCUAUCGGACAUGCUCUAAGUGCGCCAUCUUUGUAGAGUAAUUUCGGAGGCAGGCCAAAAUUUUCAGACACACUUGAUGGGUGUGUUACAGUCCUGCCUGCAGAGUUUCCACCUGACAUCUCCGCCUUUCCGAGCUAUGAAAAUCUUUAGUGGUCUUUGUCAGUGUAAUGUAUCCACAUCGUUUGUAGUAUUAAUGUAUUAUGUUUUGCUGUUGUUCAAAGAUUCAUUCAUCAUCCGUUGGUGUAUUCAAAAAUUGGAGUAAAGCUGUAAUUUGAAGCAAUAGUUUUUAUAGAAUUGUGAAAAAAAUAGAUUUGACCCCUGU